GACAGAGGGUGCAAACGUUGUUCGGAAUUACUGGGCGUAAAGCGUGUGUAGGCGGUCGAGUAAGUCGGAUGUGAAAGCCCAGGGCUCAACCCUGGAAGUGCAUUCGAUACUGCCCGGCUAGAGUACUGGAGAGGUUGGUGGAAUUCUCGGUGUAGAGGUGAAAUUCGUAGAUAUCGAGAGGAACACCGGUGGCGAAGGCGGCCAACUGGACAGAUACUGACGCUGAGACACGAAAGCGUGGGGAGCAAACAGG
RNAcentral lists this unclassified non-coding RNA (253 nucleotides) under uncultured Polyangiaceae bacterium. Its description in RNAcentral is "contains 16S-23S intergenic spacer region". It matches the Rfam family "Bacterial small subunit ribosomal RNA", at positions 524 to 776 of the family's 1533-position model. The record is from RNAcentral. Lineage: Bacteria; Pseudomonadati; Myxococcota; Polyangiales; Polyangiaceae.